UAUACAAAACACCUGAAGGGUUGGGCUGCC
This 30-nucleotide non-coding RNA is filed under the name Homo sapiens (human). The record is from RNAcentral. Lineage: Eukaryota; Metazoa; Chordata; Mammalia; Primates; Hominidae.